Molecule: ribosomal RNA, 261 nt
Filed under: uncultured archaeon
Lineage: Archaea
Description: partial 16S ribosomal RNA
Rfam family: Archaeal small subunit ribosomal RNA
Source: RNAcentral
AGGGUGUAAACGCUGCAGACUUGGUGUUGGAAGUCCUUUGGGGGCAUUCAGUGCCGGAGAGAAGUUGUUAAGUCUGCUACUUGGGGAGUACGUCCGCAAGGAUGAAACUUAAAGGAAUUGGCGGGGGAGCACCGCAACGGGAGGAGCGUGCGGUUUAAUUGGAUUCAACACCGGGAAGCUCACCGGAUAAGACAGCGGAAUGAUUGCCGGGCUGAAGACUCUGCAUGACUAGCUGAGAGGAGGUGCAUGGCGUAGACGUCU